RNAcentral lists this ribosomal RNA (435 nucleotides) under uncultured bacterium. RNAcentral describes it as "bacterial SSU rRNA". It matches the Rfam family "Bacterial small subunit ribosomal RNA", at positions 8 to 317 of the family's 1533-position model. The record is from RNAcentral.
AGAGUUUGAUCCUGGCUCAGAAUCAACGCUGGCGGCGUGCCUAACACAUGCAAGUCGAACGAGAAAGGGUAGCAAUACCUGAGUAAAGUGGCGCACGGGUGAGUAACACGUGACUAACCUACCCUAGAGUGGGGGAUAACUGAGGGAAACCUAGCUAAUACCGCAUAAUACCCACGGGUCAAGGAGCAAUUCGCUUAGGAGGGGGUGUCCGGUCAUAGUAGUGGCGGGUAUGGCCACCAGACUUGAUCGAUUCCGCCGAAAGGCCACGACCCCUGGAACGAAACCGUCAGACUCUACGGAGCAGCGUGGGAUUUGCCAUGGGCACGCUACCGCACCGCUGGGAUAGCUCCGGGAACCUCACGACAUACCAGUGACGUCGUUAAGCCGCACACUCGAGCCGGUAUCUGGGCAGGUGCCGAAUACUGGCGUAGGGUU